This 698-nucleotide long non-coding RNA is filed under the name Pan troglodytes (chimpanzee). RNAcentral's name for it is "long non-coding RNA NONPTRT005800". The record is from RNAcentral. Lineage: Eukaryota; Metazoa; Chordata; Mammalia; Primates; Hominidae.
GGGGACGAGACCCGAUGGAGAGGGAGAGGAAAAGGCCCAACACCUGCUUGUCAGGGCUCCUGGAUCACGCCCUGCUGCCUGCUGACCUAUAUUGGACUCAAGCCCUUCUUCUGGCAUGCUCACCUGUUAACCCACCUAUCAGCCCACACCUCUGACUGCUGGCUGCUCCCCAUUGAGCCUGAAAUACUGUGCUAUCUGCCUGUACCCUUUUGCAUAAGCUGGGGUUGGGGUAUCUCAGAUUUCUACCUGGGCCUGGUCAAGAUUGCCACAUACCUCACCUCUUCUGUUCUGGUCCUCAUCCUGUGUUUCUGGACAAAAAUAACAUUUGAGUAGAAAGCUUUUCUACUUGUUGACAUAGUUGAACAGAUUUUGCUUUAUUGAGAUGAAAUGGAGCCUAAAUUUAUCUGGAAAUGUGUGGAAUCAGUAGAGAGAAGUAAACACAACUCGAAGAAAGCGGGAAACCCCUGUGUACAAUUCAGCUUUUUCACUCCCAGGGAGUUGGGCAUGAUCGUAAAGAAUGAUGUUUUCAAGCCUGCCAAUAACAGAACACGUCUGUAUCCAUUGUGGAUGGGCUUCUGUUGAGAAAGCUUCCUUUUCGCCCAAGUAGAGGAGCUCUUCACUGCCCUAAGAUCCUGCUUUCCUACUCCCAUGUCAGAGCAGGAAAAGGUGAAUAUUUUUCACACAGAAUAGCCUCAUCC